Molecule: long non-coding RNA, 2630 nt
Filed under: Lynx pardinus (Iberian lynx)
Lineage: Eukaryota; Metazoa; Chordata; Mammalia; Carnivora; Felidae
Source: RNAcentral
CCAUGUACAGGAGCAGUCUCUGUCUCUAAGAGAUGUGGAACAGACAGCAGAAGAAUUCUAGUACUCAUGUAUCUUUGAUCAAAGAACAGUCUUUCUCUAAUUGGAAAGUUCAUCCCCUAUAUCUAAGCAUAUAAAUGACUGCCUCCAGAGAAUAUACAAGGAAGUAUGAAAGAGAAAGUACACACCUGUCCAGGUCAUCUGAAUCAGCCCUGGUGAUCAGUAAGUGAAAGUGUAAUCAAUUAUAUUUCCAGUUCUAGACACUAAAGUAGCAUGACUCCUUUCUUUUUUUUUUUUUUUCCUUCCCCUCCCCCAUGGGUUCCUGUUAAGUUUCUCAGGAUCCACAUAAGAGUGAAACCAUGUGACUCCUUUCUAUAAUAUGCACACGAUGCCACAUAUCUACGGUGAUCUCUUUUCAGCUCUCUGGAAUUGCCUUCAGUCUUAUUCUAGAGGCAUGGUUCCCAAACUUCAGCAUGCAGCAGAAUCAACUGGAGAGCUUCCUAAGCAGAAAAUAUGGGGCUCCACCCCCAGAGUUUCUGCUUGAGUCGGUCUAGAUUGGGUCCUGAGAAGCUGCAUUUGCAACAACUUCCCAGGUAAGACUGAUGAUUCUAGUUGGAGACCAUACUUUAAGGACUAUUAGUUUCUAAUUCAUUUAUCUUUAAUCCAGACCAAUGUUGGCCAUAACAUGAUACCAGGAAUGAGCAAUCUACUUAAAAAGCAAAGGGUUCAAUUCCUUGACUCUAAGGACCCCAGGAAGCUUUCAGUACUGAUUUGUAGAGCUUCUGCAUUUCAUACUGAGCUUCACAUUUUCCCUGAACACAGAAAGCACAUAUAUAGAUGACAAUUCAGAUCAAAGUUAAAAAAAAAAUAAUGCUUGUACCUUUGCAGCUUAUGUAUAGGUCCUCAAAACUCUAUUUUGUCAGGGUGCCUGGGUGGUUCAGACGGUUUACCAUCCUACUCUUGAUCUCAGCUCAGGGUCAUGAGUUCAAGCUCCAUGCUGGGUGUGAAGCCUACUUAAAAACAAAAACAAAACAAAACAAACAAACAAAACUCUAUUUUUUCCUACAAGGUUUAGAUUCCUUGGGUUAGCCCUGAUAAUCAAUAUAAUCUGGAAAGUUUCACCUUAACAAUAUUUUUGGACUUGUUCAUUUUUCUGUCAAUAAUCAGAUAGAAAUAAGGUUUUGCUCAUGUUUUGCAGAUGAUUUUUUUAAUAAUUUUCAUAGCUUCACUGUGAACAUUAGACUUUUAUAGUUAUCAGAGCUCAGCUAGGGAAAGCUAUGACUGUUUCAUUUUGACAGUUCCUUUGGAGCAAUUAUUUAAUGUGAGUAUUAUUUAAAUGUGAGAGUGGAAUGAAUAUAUCCUGGUGUGGUUUUUAAAAUUUAGUCUCAACAUCUUAUCUUCUAUCUACAUUUAAGAUAGCACAUUAUUCUUUACUUCUUGCCUUCCAUUUAGAGUUAGCAAGGAGUUUAGAUAUUGGGGGAAGUAAUUUAGGCUGAAGAGCAAAAGAUACACAUUUAUGUGCUAUCCUUGGCUCUGUUAUUCCCUUAAUCCCAUCUGAAGAAAGAAAAAUGUUGAUUUUAAGUUGAGGCAAAAUAUGACAUCUUUUGAACAGUACAGUUGACAAUUUAGGAAAAACCACACAGUCUUUAAGCCAUUAUUUCAAAACCUCUGGGUAUGUAUAAAGUUAGUUUCACUGGGUGCCAUUUGAGCAAAGAUCCACUGUUGAGAAAAAAAUUUAACUUAAAGAGUUAAUAAGUUAAUGGAGGAAAGCCACUGCAACCUUUUUCCUCAGAUCUGUAGGAAUUCAGGCUUUAUAUUUGUAAUGAAUUUCUGUCCACCCAUUCUCAGGAAUACUUAAUAGGCAAUGGAAGAAAUAUGAAGUGUCGACAAAGCAAUUAUCACUGUUCUGAAGGGGAGAUGGGGUGAGGUGAAAAUGCAUAGAGAAUAGUUAUUUGUUUACUUCAAAAUAUGGGGUAGUGUUCAGCUGAAGGGGGUUAUCCUGAGAAUUUCUGUAUGUUUUUCAUAUGCCAUUUCUCUCAAGAAUCGACAGGCAGUGGCGUUAUACUCAUUCUGGAAAUUGCCUCUAUGUUCAAAUAGCAUUCACUACAUGCAGCUUUUCUCAGAUCUAAAGGGCAAGGGGAAAACAGAUUAUUUGUAAAAUAAAAACAUAACACUGGCAUGGAUAUUUUUUUUUCCUCAGGGUGAGAGGGAAAAUGCCUGGAUCUUGUUUUCAAACAUUCCAGCCAUCAACUCCAGACAGCAUGGACAAACAUAAUUUUCAUUGUUGACAUAAUGAAGAUGAUGAUGCUUUUCAACCAUUUCCCAGAGCAUAAACUCAUUUUCAGUGUGAGCCCGGCUAACCAUAACGGAUGCUAGUGAUGUGGGAAAAACAAAUGCACAAAUGAAAAACAAUGAGUUAGAUAGUUCAUUCAUUGCUGUCAAUAGAAGCCAGAGUUCCCCCAAAUCUGCUUAGUAUCUGCCUUUGUAUAAUCUAAAGUGCAUUGCAGACCAUUUGCAUAUUGAGUAAAAUGUUAAAAUUAACAAUUGAAUAAAAUGUUAGGCAUAAGCAAGGCAGUUACAUUCUCACUAUCUCUCAGAAAGUUUUGGGCUUUUUUCUUCAUGUGUCUGCUUAU